Molecule: ribosomal RNA, 253 nt
Filed under: uncultured bacterium
Lineage: Bacteria
Description: partial 16S ribosomal RNA
Rfam family: Bacterial small subunit ribosomal RNA
Source: RNAcentral
UACGGAGGGUGCGAGCGUUGUCCGGAUUUAUUGGGUUUAAAGGGUGCGUAGGCGGCGCAGUAAGUUGGGUGUGAAAUCCCUCGGCUUAACCGAGGAAUUGCGCCCAAAACUACUGUGCUCGAGGGAGAUAGAGGUGAGCGGAACUUAGGGUGGAGCGGUGAAAUGCGUUGAUAUCCUAAGGAACACCGGUGGCGAAAGCGGCUCACUGGAUCUCUUCUGACGCUGAGGCACGAAAGCUAGGGUAGCAAACGGG